GUUAAAGGGUUGUCUCUAUGUCUCUGUGUGUUUGGGGUUAAAGGGUUGUCUCUAUGUCUCUCUGUGUGUGGGGUUAAAGGGUGGUCUCUAUGUCUCUGUGUGUGGGGUUAAAGGGUGGUCUCUAUGUCUCUGUGUGUGUGGGGUUAAAGGGUUGUCUCUAUGUCUCUGUGUGUGUGGGGUUAAAGGGUGGUCUCUAUGUCUCUGUGUGUGUGGGGUUAAAGGGUUGUCUCUGUGUCUCUGUGUGUGGGGUUAAAGGGUUGUCUCUAUGUCUCUGUGUGUGGGGUUAAAGGGUUGUCUCUAUGUCUCUGUGUGUGGGGUUAAAGGGUUGUCUCUAUGUCUCUGUGUGUGGGGUUAAAGGGUGGUCUCUAUGUCUCUGUGUGGGGGUUAAAGGCUGGUCUCUAUGUCUCUGUGUGUGGGGUUAAAGGGUGGUCUCUAUGUCUCUGUGUGUGGGGUUAAAGGGUGGUCUCUAUGUCUCUGUGUGGGGGUUAAAGGGUUGUCUCUAUGUCUCUGUGUGUGGGGUUAAAGGGUUGUCUCUAUGUCUCUGUGUGGGGGGUUAAAGGGUUGUCUCUGUGUCUCUGUGUGUGUGGGGUUAAAGGGUUGUCUCUAUGUCUCUGUGUGUGGGGUUAAAGGGUGGUCUCUAUGUCUCUGUGUGUGGGGUUAAAGGCUGGUCUCCAGGUCUCUGUGUGUGUGGGGUUAAAGGGUGGUCUCUAUGUCUCUGUGUGUGGGGUUAAAGGGUUGUCUCUAUGUCUCUGUGUGUGGGGUUAAAGGGUGGUCUCUAUGUCUCUGUGUGUGUGGGGUUAAAGGGUUGUCUAAAUGUCUCUGUGUGUGGGGUUAAAGGGUGGUCUCUAUGUCUCUGUGUGUGGGGUUAAAGGGUUGUCUCUAUGUCUCUGUGUGUGGGGUUAAAGGGUUGUCUCUAUGUCUCUGUGUGGGGAGUUAAAGGGUGGUCUCUAUGUCUCUGUGUGUGGGGUUAAAGGGUUGUCUCUAUGUCUCUGUGUGUGGGGGAGUUAAAGGGUUGUCUCUAUGUCUCUGUGUGUGGGGUUAAAGGGUUGUCUCUAUGUCUCUGUGUGU
This is a long non-coding RNA of Oncorhynchus tshawytscha (Chinook salmon), 1068 nucleotides long. Lineage: Eukaryota; Metazoa; Chordata; Actinopteri; Salmoniformes; Salmonidae. The record is from Ensembl.